This 391-nucleotide unclassified non-coding RNA is filed under the name soil metagenome. RNAcentral describes it as "partial contains 5.8S ribosomal RNA, internal transcribed spacer 2, and large subunit ribosomal RNA". The stretch from base 1 to 122 matches the Rfam family "5.8S ribosomal RNA", at positions 35 to 154 of the family's 154-position model. The record is from RNAcentral.
GAUGAAGAACGUAGCGAAAUGCGAUACUUGGUGUGAAUUGCAGAAUCCCGUGAACCAUCGAGUCUUUGAACGCGAGUUGCGCCCGAAGCCACUAGGCCGAGGGCACGCCUGCCUGGGCGUCACACGUCGUUGCCCCCCCAUCUACGCCUUCGGGAUUGCGGGGGGGCGGAUGAUGGCCUCCCGUGCGCCUAGCCGCGCGGUUGGCAUAAAUACCAAGUCCUCGGCGACGCACGCCACGACAAUCGGUGGUUGCGAAACCUCGGUUGCCCGUCGUGUGCGUUCCUCGCGCAUCGAGGGCUCGAAAAAAUGCUCGGCUUCGGCUCGGCUUUCAACGCGACCCCAGGUCAGGCGGGGUUACCCGCUGAAUUUAAGCAUAUCAAUAAGCGGAGGA